AAAAAUGAAGGUCUUCCCCUCCGCUCCUAC
RNAcentral lists this transfer RNA (30 nucleotides) under Paleosuchus palpebrosus (Cuvier's dwarf caiman). RNAcentral's name for it is "partial tRNA-Met". The record is from RNAcentral. Lineage: Eukaryota; Metazoa; Chordata; Crocodylia; Alligatoridae.